GGUUAAACGCUAGGCGGCAGUGGCCUAAUACAUGCAAGUCGAACGAAGCCUUUGGCGUUAGUGGUGAAACGGGGUGAGUAACACGUAUCCAAUCUACCCUUAAGUUUGGGAUAACUAGUCGAAAGAUUAGCUAAUACCGGAUAAUAACAUUCACUUGCAUGAGUGAAUGUGGAAAGUUGCGUUUGCAACGCUUUUGGAUGAGGGUGCGACGUAUCAGAUAGUUGGUGAGGUAACGGCUCACCAAGUCAUUGACGCGUAGCUGUACUGAGAGGUAGAACAGCCACAAUGGGACUGAGACACGGCCCAU
RNAcentral lists this ribosomal RNA (307 nucleotides) under uncultured bacterium. Its description in RNAcentral is "bacterial SSU rRNA". It matches the Rfam family "Bacterial small subunit ribosomal RNA", at positions 27 to 334 of the family's 1533-position model. The record is from RNAcentral.